This 1321-nucleotide long non-coding RNA is filed under the name Parus major (Great Tit). RNAcentral describes it as "lncRNA (ENSPMJG00000007677.1)". Lineage: Eukaryota; Metazoa; Chordata; Aves; Passeriformes; Paridae. The record is from RNAcentral.
GCCAGUGUCCACCAGGAAAGGAAGGUUGAGUAAGCUGAAGGCAGGGGCAAACCAGCUGUCUUGAGACCCCCCCGUGGAUGCAGGUGUGUGAUGGUGCGCAAGGGGAUUUCUUCCUUUCCUCCUGUGUUGCAAGAAUUCCUGCAUUCUGUGCCUCUAAUUGUAGGUUCCCCUAAAGACAUUUGGUGUCACUGUAAGGACGGUGUUUCACUCUCCCUCUCUGCCUGUACAGUUAUUCUCUCUCUCUCUGUGCAGUUCGCUCCAUAAGCCGUUGGUGAACAUACCAUGAGACAGAGAGAGAGCGAGACAGACAGAAACCACACACCAGCCCUUCCUCUUCACUUUCCCACCAUGGAAUAGCUAACCUUGCCCCCACUCACACCUCCAUCACCCCUCAGCAUCCUGCAAUUAUUUUGACCCUCUCUCUGGUCUUUUUGGAAGGAAGCUUUUGUCACUUCUUAACACCACCUGCCUGGAAAAACACACAGAGUCAGAACCCCCCAAGCCCUCCUGUGAAGGAAGAGGUUCUAUUUUUUAACCUCUUUUUGUUUGCUCUGACUCCAAAGCUUCAGACUCCAGCCUGAGCAGCCACAAUUUCUUACCAUGUAUUCUCCUUUUAAACCAUCUCCUUCCUGCACACGCUCAGUCCUUGCAGGCACGGAUCUAACACAACUCCCCGCUUCUCGCCGGCAGGUUCUUUGCUCCCCAUCACUCAGCUGAUCCUGAUCUUUUUUUCUCCUAUUUUCCCCACCCCGGGCACCGAGGUGUGUGUGUCUGCGUGUGAGUGUGCCUGUGUGCAAGGGGGGGAGGUUGGGGGGGCUUUUUUUUUUUUUUUCUUGGUGGGGGAAUUUUUCAAAGCAUCUUCAUUAUUUUAUUUUGCUUCUCUGACUUGGAGACUUCUCCCUCGGAGAUUUAUUUUCCAUGCAAAGGGGUUCUCGCUUGUGGCUGGCAUGGCAGAGUACAUCCCCCAGCCUCCCUCCACCUGGCCCGCAGGCCCACAGCCCCCUCACGCUUCUGCCGUCUUCCCACUGGAGCCUGUGGAUCUGGGGAUAUCGGAGCAACAAACGCCACCGGAGCAGCCACCGUCCUCCCUGGAGCUGGGUGAGGAUGAAGAAGUCACCUCCCCUCCAGAUCCUGAUGUCCCCUAUCCAGACUUGGCCCCAGUUGUCUUCUUCUGCUUGAAGCAGACCACCAGCCCACGGAGCUGGUGCAUCAAAAUGGUGUGCAACCCAUAUCCUUUCUGAGCUGCCCCUUCUCCCUCCCCACCUCUGGCUCCCUCCUGCCCCGUCCUCCCCUCAUCCUGCCCUCCUGGGGUGCCUUGCAG